Molecule: ribosomal RNA, 484 nt
Filed under: uncultured bacterium
Lineage: Bacteria
Description: partial 16S ribosomal RNA
Rfam family: Bacterial small subunit ribosomal RNA
Source: RNAcentral
AUUGAACGCUGGCGGCAGGCCUAACACAUGCAAGUCGAGCGGAAGAAGGGAGCUUGCUCCUGGAUUCAGCGGCGGACGGGUGAGUAAUGCCUAGGAAUCUGCCUGGUAGUGGGGGAUAACGUCAGGAAACGGGCGCUAAUACCGCAUACGUCCAGCGGGAGAAAGCGGGGGAUCUUCGGCCCUCACGCUAUCAGAUGAGCCUAGGUCGGAUUAGCUAGUUGGUGGGGUAAGGGUCUACCCAGGCGACGAUCCGUAACUGGUCUGAGAGGAUGAUCAGUCACACUGGAACUGAGACACGGUCCAGACUCCUACGGGAGGCAGCAGUGGGGAAUAUUGGACAAUGGGCGAAAGCCUGAUCCAGCCAUGCCGCGUGUGUGAAGAAGGUCUUCGGAUUGUAAAGCACUUUAAGUGGGGAGGAAGGGAAGUAAGUUAAUACCUUGCUGUUUUGACGUUACCAGCAGAAUAAGCACCGGCUAACUUCGUG